CUCCAAGUCCAGCCCUCUUCUUCAGGGAAACUUCGCUCCUCACUGUGCUUCAAGAUGACCUUUGGCUUCAAACAAAAAUUCUUUUAGGUUUACUGCGGCACAUCGGACCGGCAGGCUCUCUGGACUGGCCAAGCCCUUUCUUGCUC
Molecule: long non-coding RNA, 146 nt
Filed under: Callithrix jacchus (white-tufted-ear marmoset)
Lineage: Eukaryota; Metazoa; Chordata; Mammalia; Primates; Cebidae
Description: lncRNA (ENSCJAG00000074663.1)
Source: RNAcentral